AUUGAACGCUGGCGGUAGGCCUAACACAUGCAAGUCGAACGGUAACAGGAAGAAGCUUGCUUCUUUGCUGACAAGUGGCGGACGGGUGAGUAAUGUCUGGGAAACUGCCUGAUGGAGGGGGAUAACUACUGGAAACGGUAGCUAAUACCGCAUAACGUCGCAAGACCAAAGAGGGGGACCUUCGGGCCUCUUGCCAUCGGAUGUGCCCAGAUGGGAUUAGCUAGUAGGUGGGGUAACGGCUCACCUAGGCGACGAUCCCUAGCUGGUCUGAGAGGAUGACCAGCCACACUGGAACUGAGACACGGUCCAGACUCCUACGGGAGGCAGCAGUGGGGAAUAUUGCACAAUGGGCGCAAGCCUGAUGCAGCCAUGCCGCGUGUAUGAAGAAGGCCUUCGGGUUGUAAAGUACUUUCAGCGGGGAGGAAGGGAGUAAAGUUAAUACCUUUGCUCAUUGACGUUACCCGCAGAAGAAGCACCGGCUAACUCCGUG
RNAcentral lists this ribosomal RNA (490 nucleotides) under uncultured bacterium. Its description in RNAcentral is "partial 16S ribosomal RNA". It matches the Rfam family "Bacterial small subunit ribosomal RNA", at positions 30 to 507 of the family's 1533-position model. The record is from RNAcentral.